AGAAGGCCCACUUCCAUGGCGCUUUACUUGAAAGAUGAAUAUUCACAGCUAUGGCUUGGAAGGGAAGAGGCAGCCAAAAGGAAUCAUUAAGCUGAGCUAAAUGAGCAGAACUGAGAGGCAAGAUGUGUCUCCCUUCUCCAUCCAAUCACUGAAGGAAAGUGAGAUUUGCGUAGGAAAAUCUGAGCUGAAACAUAUUCCUUUUAAAGCUUUCAUCCACCAUUUCGAGUUCCUGUGUCAUGCUCUGGCAGGUCCUGGGCCUGCACAGUCCAAAUCUAGUCUUGAAACUAUGUAGCUCAUAAGUACCAAUUUUUGACAUGACGGAUUUUGAUUCAAAGCCAUUUUACCAGCUUUCUUUCCAUAGAGUCAAG
This 368-nucleotide long non-coding RNA is filed under the name Gallus gallus (chicken). Lineage: Eukaryota; Metazoa; Chordata; Aves; Galliformes; Phasianidae. The record is from RNAcentral.